Molecule: long non-coding RNA, 556 nt
Organism: Drosophila hydei
Lineage: Eukaryota; Metazoa; Arthropoda; Insecta; Diptera; Drosophilidae
Exons: 3
Source: RefSeq, a predicted model, not a curated record
CGCUUGCUCACGGACAGAGACCGUUGUCACAGUGCGGUGCUUAAGCAAGUGUUCGAGCAAUUGCUAUAGGCGGCAUGCGUUAGUUUCGCGCUGUUGCACACUCGUUCUUAUGUACGUAUUUCAACACAUACGACAUUAAUACGACAACACAGAUGUGAAAGAGAUGGGCAGGCUAUACACAAUACAGAGAUGUAUGCUUGUCCACACAUACAAAGAACGCAUCACCUUGACUCUGUAAAUUGCGCCAAUUUUCUUUACCAUUUCUAUUGGGUUUGGUACUAAAUUAUGGUAAAUGUAUUAUGUAUGCUCAUAUGGAAUAUAUGCAGACACGGAUCUUAACCAAGCGUAAUGGUUUUAUUAAAAAAAAAAACAACAAACAUUUAAAAACAGACGAGUGUUAAUUUUACAAAUAACAAAUCGGCAUCAAAAUCUAUAAACACAAGAAAGCGUCUGCGCUGACUUCGAGAACCACAGUCAUUAGUGAUGUGUGUUUAUCUUAAUUAUUUUUGUUUUUUCUUUUUUAGAAAAGAGCGGCAAAAUUAGUUGUACAAAACAA